CCUGGUGGCUCAGAUGGUAAAGCAUCUGCCUACAAUGCAGGAGACCUGGGUUCAAUCCCUGGGUCAGGA
RNAcentral lists this transfer RNA (69 nucleotides) under Muntiacus reevesi (Reeves' muntjac). It matches the Rfam family "tRNA". From Rfam's summary of the family: Transfer RNA (tRNA) molecules are approximately 80 nucleotides in length. RNAcentral also lists the same sequence under 6 other names. Lineage: Eukaryota; Metazoa; Chordata; Mammalia; Artiodactyla; Cervidae. The record is from Rfam by way of RNAcentral.